AUUGAACGCUGGCGGCAGGCCUAACACAUGCAAGUCGAGCGGCAGCGGAAAGUAGCUUGCUACUUUGCCGGCGAGCGGCGGACGGGUGAGUAAUGUCUGGGAAACUGCCUGAUGGAGGGGGAUAACUACUGGAAACGGUAGCUAAUACCGCAUGACCUCGAAAGAGCAAAGUGGGGGAUCUUCGGACCUCACGCCAUCGGAUGUGCCCAGAUGGGAUUAGCUAGUAGGUGAGGUAAUGGCUCACCUAGGCGACGAUCCCUAGCUGGUCUGAGAGGAUGACCAGCCACACUGGAACUGAGACACGGUCCAGACUCCUACGGGAGGCAGCAGUGGGGAAUAUUGCACAAUGGGCGCAAGCCUGAUGCAGCCAUGCCGCGUGUGUGAAGAAGGCCUUAGGGUUGUAAAGCACUUUCAGCGAGGAGGAAGGCAUCAUACUUAAUACGUGUGGUGAUUGACGUUACUCGCAGAAGAAGCACCGGCUAACUCCGUGCCAGCAGCCGCGGUAAUACGGAGGGUGCAAGCGUUAAUCGGAAUUACUGGGCGUAAAGCGCACGCAGGCGGUUUGUUAAGUCAGAUGUGAAAUCCCCGCGCUUAACGUGGGAACUGCAUUUGAAACUGGCAAGCUAGAGUCUUGUAGAGGGGGGUAGAAUUCCAGGUGUAGCGGUGAAAUGCGUAGAGAUCUGGAGGAGUACCGGUGGCGAAGGCGGCCCCCUGGACAAAGACUGACGCUCAGGUGCGAAAGCGUGGGGAGCAAACAAG
This 759-nucleotide ribosomal RNA is filed under the name uncultured Enterobacteriaceae bacterium. RNAcentral describes it as "bacterial SSU rRNA". It matches the Rfam family "Bacterial small subunit ribosomal RNA", at positions 28 to 776 of the family's 1533-position model. Lineage: Bacteria; Pseudomonadati; Pseudomonadota; Gammaproteobacteria; Enterobacterales; Enterobacteriaceae. The record is from RNAcentral.